UACUGUUAUCGGUUUAAUCUU
RNAcentral lists this small nuclear RNA (21 nucleotides) under Arabidopsis thaliana (thale cress). RNAcentral's name for it is "snRNA_11317". Lineage: Eukaryota; Viridiplantae; Streptophyta; Magnoliopsida; Brassicales; Brassicaceae. The record is from RNAcentral.